RNAcentral lists this unclassified non-coding RNA (1011 nucleotides) under Hevea brasiliensis (rubber tree). The record is from RNAcentral. Lineage: Eukaryota; Viridiplantae; Streptophyta; Magnoliopsida; Malpighiales; Euphorbiaceae.
GAAGAUUCAUGCAGUAGAAGACUGCAAUGUAUAUGUUGGAACUCUAGACACAUUUAUAGAGGAAAGAGAAACCAUAAGAGAAACAAAGGCUUAUCUUGGUGGAAAUAUUGAUGGAAAGGAUAAGGGACCUGAACUUGGUGUCUGGGAACUGGAUCUAAGAUCUCAAUUCCCUGUUCUCUUUUUACCAUAUAGAGAAACGCAGGCUGGAAUUCCACAUUCCGAAAUUAUUGAGAAAUGCACAGAUUGUGAAGGAAGGGGAAAUAUUAUCUGUCUUACAUGCAAUGCCAAUCAAGAGCCUGGAUUUUAUAAGGAGAACCAGAUGUCUCAAUGCCCUGCUUGCUGUGGAAGGGGUUUGAUUGCUCACAGAGAUGGAUCUGACACAAUAUGCACAAAUUGUUCUGGCAAGGGGAAGAUUCCUUGUGCAACUUGUGGAUCUCGUGGGCUAAUAAAAUGCCAGAAAUGUCAAGGAAGUGGCUCUCUUUUGACGCGCAGUAUUGCCAUUGUUAGAUGGAAAACACUUUCAACUCGAAAAGUUAGUGCAACAAGUGGAGCAGCAUCAGUUCCAGACGAGGUUUUUCACAGAGCCAAAGGGGUCCAGUUGUGCAACACUCAAGCAUAUCAAUGCACUCCAGCCUUUUUUGCAGACUCAUUCUUCCUUAAUAAAUUUUCUUCUGAAGUAAUAGCAGAGAGGGCUUCUGUACCUCCCACUGCCAGAGUCAUAUGUGAGAGGCAUACCAUAUCUGUGGUGCCGGUGACACGUGUCACCAUGGCUCGUCGUGGUCGUUCCUUCAGUUUCUACAUAAUUGGUUUUAGCAGGGAGGUCUACUUAAAGGACUACUAUCCUUCUAGGUUUUGCUGGGGACUAUGUCCUUGUUUAGAAUGGUUGAAGUUGUGAUGGAAUAUACUAUGUUAGAGAUAUUGUGAAAUAUGCGGGAUGUUUGGCGACAAAUAAGGAAAAGAGGCUGUGGAUUAUGUGGUUCCUAUGUUUAAGAUAAUGAACAUUUGAUUAUC